This 1316-nucleotide ribosomal RNA is filed under the name uncultured Alphaproteobacteria bacterium. Its description in RNAcentral is "uncultured alpha proteobacterium 16S ribosomal RNA". It matches the Rfam family "Bacterial small subunit ribosomal RNA", at positions 33 to 1395 of the family's 1533-position model. Lineage: Bacteria; Pseudomonadati; Pseudomonadota; Alphaproteobacteria. The record is from RNAcentral.
ACGCUGGCGGCACGCCUAACACAUGCAAGUCGAACGAAGUAGCAAUACUUAGUGGCAGACGGGUGAGUAACAUGUAGGUAUCUGCCCUUUGGCCUGGAAUAACACGAGGAAACUUGUGCUAAUACCGGAUAAGUCUUUACGGAGAAAGCUUUAUGCACCAUUGGAUGAGCCUGCACUUGAUUAGUUUGUUGGUGGGGUAAUGGCCUACCAAGACUGUGAUCAAUAGCUGAUUUGAGAGGAUGAUCAGCCACAUUGGGACUGAGACACGGCCCAAACUCCUACGGGAGGCAGCAGUGGGGAAUCUUGCACAAUGGAGGAAACUCUGAUGCAGCGAUGCCGCGUGAGUGAAGAAGGCCUUUGGGUUGUAAAGCUCUUUCGUCGGGGAAGAAAAUGACUGUACCCGAAUAAGAAGGUCCGGCUAACUUCGUGCCAGCAGCCGCGGUAAUACGAAGGGACCUAGCGUAGUUCGGAAUUACUGGGCUUAAAGAGUUCGUAGGUGGUUGAAAAAGUUAGUGGUGAAAUCCCAGAGCUUAACUCUGGAACUGCCAUUAAAACUUUUCAGCUAGAGUAUGAUAGAGGAAAGCAGAAUUUCUAGUGUAGAGGUGAAAUUCGUAGAUAUUAGAAAGAAUACCAAUUGCGAAAGGCAGCUUUCUGGAUCAUUACUGACACUGAGGAACGAAAGCAUGGGUAGCGAAGAGGAUUAGAUACCCUCGUAGUCCAUGCCGUAAACGAUGUGUGUUAGACGUUGGAAAUUUAUUUUCAGUGUCGCAGGGAAACCGAUAAACACACCGCCUGGGGAGUACGACCGCAAGGUUAAAACUCAAAUGAAUUGACGGGGACCCGCACAAGUAGUGGAGCAUGUGGUUUAAUUCGAAGAUACGCGCAGAACCUUACCAACACUUGACAUGUUCGUCGCGACUCUAAGAGAUUAGAGUUUUCGGUUCGGCCGGACGAAACACAGGUGCUGCAUGGCUGUCGUCAGCUCGUGUCGUGAGAUGUUGGGUUAAGUCCCGCAACGAGCGCAACCCUCACUUUUAGUUGCCAUCAUUAAGUUGGGCACUCUGAAAGAACUGCCAGUGAUAAGCUGGAGGAAGGUGGGGAUGACGUCAAGUCCUCAUGGCCCUUACGUGUUGGGCUACACACGUGCUACAAUGGUAUCUACAACAGGAAGCAAGACUGCGAAGUUAAGCAAAUCCCUAAAAGAUACCUCAGUUCGGAUUGCACUCUGCAACUCGAGUGCAUGAAGCUGGAAUUACUAGUAAUCGUGGAUCAGCGUGCCACGGUGAAUGCGUUCCCGGGUCUUGUACUCACCGCCC